UGAGUAACCUGCCCUUGACUCUGGGAUAAGCCUGGGAAACCGGGUCUAAUACCGGAUAUGACUUCCUGCCGCAUGGCGGGGGGUGGAAAGCUUUAGCGGUUUUGGAUGGACUCGCGGCCUAUCAGCUUGUUGGCGGGGUAAUGGCUCACCAAGGCGACGACGGGUAGCCGGCCUGAGAGGGUGACCGGCCACACUGGGACUGAGACACGGCCCAGACUCCUACGGGAGGCAG
This 232-nucleotide ribosomal RNA is filed under the name uncultured bacterium. RNAcentral's name for it is "partial 16S ribosomal RNA". It matches the Rfam family "Bacterial small subunit ribosomal RNA", at positions 118 to 351 of the family's 1533-position model. The record is from RNAcentral.